RNAcentral lists this long non-coding RNA (1304 nucleotides) under Rattus norvegicus (Norway rat). RNAcentral's name for it is "long non-coding RNA NONRATT003127". The record is from RNAcentral. Lineage: Eukaryota; Metazoa; Chordata; Mammalia; Rodentia; Muridae.
CACAGGUGUGACACAUCUGGGUGGAUUUUAUACUUUGAAAUUUUUUCAUGAAUUUUUUUUUUUUGUGCUUGACUUUUAAAAAGAAAUCUUGUUUUUCUUCACUACGGGGAUCGUUUACACUUGAGAAGAACUACUGAACAGCACGUGCCAGAGAUUGAGGUCCAGGUCAAACGUAGAAGGACAGCCUCACUGAGCAACCAAGAGUGUCACUUGUACCCAAGGCGUUCUCAGCAACAGCAAAUUCCUGUGGUGGAUUUCCAGGCAGAACUGAGACAGGCGUUCUUAGCUGAGACACCAAGAGGUGGUUAAAGCAGUAUUGGAACUGUGGGGUGGUGGAAGUCAACAAAAACAGGACCUAUCCACUGAUUGUGAAACUUUGGUCAAGCUUACACUGUGUUAAUAGCCUGCAUCAAACCUUUAUUUAUUGCCCUUCUCCAAGUAUUAAGGAUCUUGAAAUUUUAGUGUUGACAACUGCUAUUGUGGAACAGCAAUCAUGGCCAAAGAAUGCAAAACAGCCAGAACGUGAAGAAAAACGGGUUUUGGGUCUGGUCUUGCUACGUGGAGAGAACUUGGUUUCCAUGACAGUGGAGGGUCCACCUCCUAAAGAUACUGGCAUUGCUCGUGUGCCACUUGCUGGUGCUGCAGGUGGCCCUGGUGUUGGAAGAGCAGCUGGCAGAGGAGUACCAGCAGGUGUACCUAUUCCCCAAGCUCCUGCUGGAUUAGCAGGCCCUGUCCGAGGAGUUGGAGGCCCAUCCCAGCAGGUCAUGACCCCACAGGGAAGAGGCACUGUUGCAGCUGCUGCUGUUGCUGCUACUGCUAGCAUUGCAGGAGCCCCAACCCAGUACCCGCCAGGACGGGGAACUCCACCUCCACCUGUAGGCAUGCCCCCUCCAGGAAUGAGACCCCCUCCUCCAGGAAUUAGAGGCCCACCUCCCCCAGGAAUGCGUCCACCAAGACCCUAAGAUACAGUUGAUAAAUCUCAGCCCUUCUCUUUCCCUACAAUGCUUCUUGUGAAAUUGUGUCGCCUGCAAGCUUUUGACCCCUCUUACUGCAUUAACUAUAGAUAAUAAAUACAUAGCGCAAUUGAAUUGAGGUUUUUCUUUGUCUGCUGAUUUUGUUAAAGUUAGAGUGAAACUUAUUGUGAUUUGGUGGUGAAAUUAUUGUUAAAGGUUACUAAACUAAGUUUAUAUUAAGUAAAAACCGACAUAAAGUUUCUCAAGGUAGUUUCUAAGGAUAAGAUGGUUGAAAUGUUUUCGUGAUUUCUGACCUUACAGAUAAGUAAAAUCAGGAAUGAUUUACUAAGA